Long non-coding RNA from Acanthaster planci (crown-of-thorns starfish), 426 nucleotides. NCBI's taxonomy places the organism in Eukaryota, Metazoa, Echinodermata, Asteroidea, Valvatida, Acanthasteridae. The record is from RefSeq and is a predicted model, not a curated record.
UUGGGUGACAGGUCUGACAAUUGAUCAUAUUCCACUCAACGCCUUCAGCGGACUUUCCAACCUCCAGUGGCUUAUGCUGUUCAAUGUGUCGGGAAAGACCAAGACCAAGACAAUUUCAAACAUCGAAAAAGGUGCUUUUGGAGGGAUACGGACUUCACACCUGAAUUUGACGAUCGUUGAUGAUUACCGCCUAUGCUGUGUCGUUUCUGAGCUACAGAAUUUUUCCGUCGAGGACGACUGCCUGACAACAAAGGUUAAACCAGCUUUGAACCUGUGCGACAGCCUUAUGCCAAACGUCAUAUUGCGAGUGGCAUUAUGGGUAUUAGGAAUAAGCGCCCUCAUCGGUAAUUUUUCUGUGCUGAUUUGGAGGCUUAAGCGGAAAGGGAAAGAAGGGACAAAAAAGACAUUGUCACUUAUGGUUUGCAA